This 253-nucleotide ribosomal RNA is filed under the name uncultured bacterium. RNAcentral's name for it is "partial 16S ribosomal RNA". It matches the Rfam family "Bacterial small subunit ribosomal RNA", at positions 524 to 776 of the family's 1533-position model. The record is from RNAcentral.
UACGGAGGGUGCAAGCGUUAUCCGGAUUCACUGGGUUUAAAGGGUGCGUAGGAGGGCAGGUAAGUCAGUGGUGAAAUCCCCGAGCUUAACUUGGGAACUGCCGUUGAUACUAUCUGUCUUGAAUGUUGUGGAGGUGAGCGGAAUAUGUCAUGUAGCGGUGAAAUGCUUAGAUAUGACAUAGAACACCAAUUGCGAAGGCAGCUCGCUACACAAUUAUUGACUCUGAUGCACGAAAGCGUGGGGAUCAAACAGG